Molecule: ribosomal RNA, 501 nt
Filed under: uncultured bacterium
Lineage: Bacteria
Description: partial 16S ribosomal RNA
Rfam family: Bacterial small subunit ribosomal RNA
Source: RNAcentral
AUUGAACGCUGGCGGCAUGCCUUACACAUGCAAGUCGAACGGCAGCACGGGUGCUUGCACCUGGUGGCGAGUGGCGAACGGGUGAGUAAUACAUCGGAACGUACCUUAUCGUGGGGGAUAACGCAGCGAAAGUUGCGCUAAUACCGCAUACGCCCUGAGGGGGAAAGCGGGGGACCGUAAGGCCUCGCGCGAUUAGAGCGGCCGAUGUCUGAUUAGCUUGUUGGUGAGGUAAAAGCUCACCAAGGCGAUGAUCAGUAGCUGGUCUGAGAGGACGAUCAGCCACACGGGGACUGAGACACGGCCCAGACUCCUACGGGAGGCAGCAGUGGGCAAUUUGGGACAAUGGGGGCAACCCUGAUCGAGCAAUGCGGCGUGAGUGAAGAAGGCCGUCGGGUUGUAAAGCUCUUUUGUCAGGGAAGAAACAGCAGCUCUAACACAGUCUGCGAAUGACGGUACCUGAAGAAUAAGCACCGGCUAACUACGUGCCAGCCGCCGCCGUAA